UUAAGUAGGUAGCGAUCGCUCUAAAUAUGACCUGGUCAUAUUUGGAGAGGAAAGUCCGAACACUCCCUCAUUUUAAUGAGGAGCCGGGUAGCAGGUAACUCCUGUCCAGCCGUCGCUUCGCAACGGAAGCACCAAAUUCUAAGCACCAAGCACCAAACAAAUUAUAAAUUCUAAAUUCUAAAUUCUAAACGUUUUGAAUUUGGGUCAUUAGAAUUUCGGUAUUGUUUGGGAUUUGGAAUUUGGGAUUUGGAAUUUCCGCUGCGGAGCAGCGGUUAAGAGGUGCGAACAGAGACGCUUAAACCUGAAAAGGUAAAAGCACCCCUUGGGGUGAGCUCUAAAAGAAAUUUUAGAGGUGAAACGGCUAAACCCUUACCUGAGUGAAAGGCCAAACAAAAAAUCCCUGAACUUCAAAAUUCAAGGAUGGUAGGCCGUUCGAGUCUAGCUGCAAAGCUAAACCUAGAUAAAUGAUCGCGCUCUCACGAGUAACAGAAUUCGGCUUAUUGCCUACUUAAGUUU
Molecule: RNase P RNA, 516 nt
Filed under: Patescibacteria group bacterium
Lineage: Bacteria
Description: RNase P RNA component class A
Rfam family: Bacterial RNase P class A
About the family: Ribonuclease P (RNase P) is a ubiquitous endoribonuclease, found in archaea, bacteria and eukarya as well as chloroplasts and mitochondria. Its best characterised activity is the generation of mature 5'-ends of tRNAs by cleaving the 5'-leader elements of precursor-tRNAs.
Source: RNAcentral